UCCUACGGGACGCAGCAGUGGGGGAUAUUGCGCAAUGGGGGAAACCCUGAUGCAGCGACGCCGCGUGUGGGAAGACGGUCCUCUGGAUUGUAAACCACUGUCCCCAGGGACGAAGAUGACGGUACCUGGGGAGGAAGCUCCGGCUAACUACGUGCCAGCAGCCGCGGUAAUACGUAGGGGGCAAGCGUUAUCCGGAUUUACUGGGUGUAAAGGGGGCGCAGACGGCGAUGCAAGCCAGGAGUGAAAGCCCGGGGCCCAACCCCGGGACUGCUCUUGGAACUGCGUGACUGGAGUGCAGGAGGGGG
This 305-nucleotide ribosomal RNA is filed under the name uncultured bacterium. RNAcentral describes it as "bacterial SSU rRNA". It matches the Rfam family "Bacterial small subunit ribosomal RNA", at positions 337 to 658 of the family's 1533-position model. The record is from RNAcentral.